Molecule: long non-coding RNA, 681 nt
Organism: Gallus gallus (chicken)
Lineage: Eukaryota; Metazoa; Chordata; Aves; Galliformes; Phasianidae
Source: Ensembl
AUGGAAGCAGUAGGGCUGGGAAAUGCAGCCAAAUGUAACCACCUGUAGAUAGUAGGAAAACCACAAAAUAUUUCCUGAGCAGCAGAUGCCUGUGUUGAGCUUGAUACAGCAAUUGAGGAGAAACAGGAGACUGAAGGCUCCAGAAGGAAGAAAAAAUAACACAAGAAGAAAGAUUCAGUGCUUCAACCGUUGAAGGAUUAAAUGAAGAGAUGUCUAAAUAAUAAUGCUGAUUCCCUCACUUUACUCCUGAUUUGAAGAUGCAGACAAACAGAGAAAUACAUUCAUGCAGACCUAUAUUUCACCUGUAUGAAACGCAGAAGACAAUUCCAUGCUCCUGCUUCCGGAUCAGCAAGUGCUUUCUCCUUCCAUCUCUCCUGAUGCCAUCUCAUUUCUCUUGUGCUCUGCUUCUUUUAGCCACUUGGACAAACAACUUUUAUCAGUUAAAGAACCAAUGUGAAAAAAUGAAUGCCUGCUGAUUUUAAACCACGCUAAUGAGGGAUCCAUCACUUUAUUUUCUGACUGUUCUAUGAAUGUCGACACAAAGUCAACUUUCAUAGCGCAGAAGUUAUUCAGGAAGACAGUUUAUUUGCCCUGAACAAUGGUCCACUUUUAAUAACAUUAUUGCAGAACAACUGAACUCCGAAGCCUACUCCAAACAAAAUUUUAAAUGACUUGUCUCAG